Molecule: ribosomal RNA, 309 nt
Filed under: uncultured bacterium
Lineage: Bacteria
Description: bacterial SSU rRNA
Rfam family: Bacterial small subunit ribosomal RNA
Source: RNAcentral
GACGAACGCUGGCGGCGUGCUUAACACAUGCAAGUCGAACGGUGAUCUUGGAGCUUGCUCCAGGUGAGCAGUGGCGAACGGGUGAGUAACACGUGAGUAACCUGCCCCAGACUCUGGAAUAAGCGCUGGAAACGGCGUCUAAUACCGGAUAUGACACUAAACCGCAUGGUUAUGGUGUGGAAAGUUUUUCGGUCUGGGAUGGACUCGCGGCCUAUCAGCCUGUUGGUGAGGUAAUGGCUCACCAAGGCGAUGACGGGUAGCCGGCCUGAGAGGGCGAUCGGCCACACUGGGACUGAGACCACGGCCCAG